Molecule: long non-coding RNA, 1228 nt
Filed under: Trifolium pratense (red clover)
Lineage: Eukaryota; Viridiplantae; Streptophyta; Magnoliopsida; Fabales; Fabaceae
Description: long non-coding RNA (TPRA_LNC001136)
Source: RNAcentral
UAGCUUCUACAUCACCAACUUUCAGGUAUUUUAUAAAAAUGGUGUCUUCUUCAUCAUAUUUUUUUAAAUGAUUUAUUUAAAUUUUUGCAAAAAUUGUAUGAAAUCAACUGUAAUACUCUAUUUGCACUUUAUAGGCCAAAAGAUUUGUAGACUAUUUGGCUACUUUGGUCCUCUAAAUGAAGUUUUCGUGCCUCAUGAUUAUUAUAUUAAGUAAGCUUAUUUACUCUUUCUUAAACACAACUUAUAUAUAGCUUCUAUGUGUUUUUUUAAUUUAAAGUUUUAAUUUUCCAGUUCAAUGUGUUAUAUGUGAAGUUGUAUAGUUCUCCAAAUUUAUCAUUUAGUUUUGGUCAACAUGAUGGCAUAAUUUCUUACUUUCAGAUUACUACUUUUAAAUAUAGUUUUUGUUUCUCAUGUACCCAGUAUAAUUUUUAAUUAUUUUUCACUUCAGAGCAAUUGUUUUUCCUGCUCUGCUACCCUGUGUUAAGUAAAGUGAGUUUACUUCAUUUGAAGCCAUUUUAUUCAGUCUCAUGGAACUAAACUCUUAGAUGCAGCAUGCAGCCGCCUCAGUUGAAGAAAAUUUGGGACCGUAUUAUAUUUGAUUUGAUUUUUCGGUUUCAACUAUUGUGAUAUUCGAUGAUCUUUGAUCUUAAAAUUGAAGAGGCAACAAAAGAGCUUAUAACUGGAUAAGUAUAUAUGUGUUCUUUUUGUCAGAAGAUCAAUUUUAAGUCCAAUUAUUGUAUGUGCUGUAAAUUGAUCUUAAAUUUCAAUUAUAUCCUUGCCUUCAACUUUAACCCGUGCUUUGUAGUUUGAUGAAAUAUUUCAUUGAUUUCUUAUCUCUGCAUUUCUUAUGUUGCUAAUUUUUUCAAAACCAUAGAUUAAAAGUAUAGUGAUUUGAUAGUUUUGAUUUUAACCUUAUGUUUAACCCUCAUAAUUUAAGAUGUCAUACCUGCAACAACUUUUCUAUGUCACACUUUAGUUUUAGCUAUUUUUUCCAAGACUAGAGCUUGAAUUUCCAAGAGAAUUAGACUAACCUCAUAUUAAUAUUUUACAAUGUUAAGUGCUAUUUUUUGACACCCUCAUUGUCUAAGAUUGCAGGUUUGAGUUCAAAGGAUGGUAACUAAGAAGAUGAUGGAGCAAAAUUAACAUGUUUCCUUUGAGCACGUGUAUUAUUGUGAGUAAAAUAUUUUACAUUCCCCACUCUCUGACAUUGAUAUAGUAAACUCUUAUG